Hydra vulgaris (swiftwater hydra) is the source of this 415-nucleotide non-coding RNA. The record is from RefSeq and is a predicted model, not a curated record. NCBI's taxonomy places the organism in Eukaryota, Metazoa, Cnidaria, Hydrozoa, Anthoathecata, Hydridae.
AUCUGCUAGGUGUGCUACACCUGUAUCUACCUCUUAUGCUACACCUGUUAUUUCUACAUGUGCUAUGCCUGUUACAUCUUCAGCAGUUACGUCAAUUCCAUCUGCACCACCUUCAAAUGGUUGGUUGGUUAAAUAUGAUCAUUUAAAUGAGAGAAUGUAUACUCGUGCAACUGAAUACAUGUAAACACGAGAAAAUGAAUACUCAUGCAAAUGUAUACUCGUGCAAUCUGGGUGUUAUAACAUCAUAACCACAUCUACGGCCAACUCUAAGAUCACCUUACUUUAUUUGGCAGUGUUCUGGAAUCAAGUUAUGGCAAUAUUUUAUGUAUAAAAUCUAACAAUUAUAUUUAAAAAGUGCUUAUUUCUGAUAAAAACUUGUAUUUUCUUAAGGGUUAGAUGGCGUUUCAUUACCCCC